This is an RNA transcript of Pipra filicauda (Wire-tailed manakin), 9156 nucleotides long. It is a transcript of the gene named Mdm1 nuclear protein, with no coding region annotated. The record is from RefSeq and is a predicted model, not a curated record. The transcript has 16 exons. NCBI's taxonomy places the organism in Eukaryota, Metazoa, Chordata, Aves, Passeriformes, Pipridae.
GCUCAGCUAACAGGGAGCACAGGGGAGGGUCAGCAGCCAGGGGCAACGGGGAUGUAAACAGACUGCCUGCACCGGUUUGGGUCAGUACGUCUAUCCGAGCACUCUUUUACCACCCUCUCACUUCUUUUUAUUUUGAUACAGUAAAGCCAGUCAGGAUGGAGAUUAGAAGGAGGAAGGCAGUCAAAAAAGGGACCCCUAAGGGAAGAUCGGAACAAGAAGGUGGAUUAGGAUCUCCUGACCGGGUGGCGGGGUCGGGUGAGGUGGCGAAGGCGGACGGGCCGCUGGCACGGCAUCGCAUAGGCUCCAGAAGGGGACUGAGUGAAUAUAAGAGAAACUUCAAAUGGAGAAGCCCAGAAUUUUGUAGCCCAGAGAAAUCCUCGUGGGCAGGACUUCGGUCGGACCAGUUUGGUAAGCGCCUCUGGAAGCUGUCCACCUUGACUGCAGCCAAAGCCCAGAAAGGAAUCACUAGAGAACCAAAAUUCAUUUCCAAGAGAAGGGUACCUUACUAUGAUCCACAGAUUUCGAAGUCCUUUGAAUGGACAGCAGAUUGUGAUUUGAAUGACCCACUUGAACCUGAAGCUGCAGAGUUGCACACAGACCACAACAACAAUGAUGUGAAUCAGGAAGAAAUUGAAACAGUAGAAGGACCCAGACUCCCCCCAAAAGUGCGGUCACAUUUGGUAGAUUCUAGCGGUGAAACAGCUCUUGCCCUUGCAGAGAACAACAUGAAGAAAUCACCCUAUGAAGCUCCACCAAAACAAAAUGAAGCAUUUUCAUCUCCGAAAAAGGAAUUAGAAAAAAUGGGUAAUGGGUUUCACAGAGCCCUUCAGAGGAAAGCAGAUUUGAAUAUUUCACGUUUAAAUACUUUCCCUAGAAAUUCUGAAUAUCAAAGCCAAUUUGUCUGGAAGAGUCCUCAUGAAAAGUCACCAAUACUUGCAGCUGAACAGGUUAUUUGCAACACAAGGAAAUCCACACCUGUGGUUAAAUCUCCUGCAAUUACUUCUGAAACUGCAUAUGAGAGAAAUUUCAAAGGGUCUCCUCCUGUUAAGGAUCCGCAAGAGAGAGGUGUUUCAGAAGAGAAAGAAUUUCCGGUUUGUGAACAAAGUAAGAGGGAAGAACCGUUUCAAAAACCAGCAGAAGAUGCAGCAAAACAAGGGAAAUCAGAACAAAAACAUCCUAAACAAAAAAACAAGCAACAUAUCAGUCCAAAACCCCUCUCUUUACAUACAAGUCAUGGGAAGAUGAACACUGAAUAUAGGUCAAAAUUUUUGUCCCCCGCCCAAUAUUUCUACAAAGAUGGAACUUGGUCUCGUAUUAGGAGUAAAGUUCACAACCAGGCAUCUCAAAACACUCUAAAUUCCAUGUGGUAUAUGGAGGUGAGAGAACUUCGAGAAAGAGCAAAGACUUACAGGCAACGAGUAGAGGGAACACACUUCUCCCGAUAUCAUUUCAAUCAGAUCCUGUCUGAUAAUAACAGUCUUUGGGAUGUGUCCUCAACUUCCAGUUCAGAAGAAGGGAUCAGCAACAACAUCAGAGCACUAGAUCUUGCUGGAGUUUCUGAAAAAGAGGCUGUACCAAGCCCUCAAGGGCUACAGCAGCCUGACUCCAGAGAACAACCACACCAGAAUAGCACUGGAAAGAAAGACAUGUCAGAUGCUUUAACUGUUCCAGUCAAAAGACGUUUAGUUUGGGAUGAACAAGAAGAUACUGAAGAAAGAGAAAAAUGUCAAUCAACAGAAGAGGAAGAAAACCAAGAUGAACAGGGUGCAGUUGUGGCUCAGCAGUUAGAAGAAAACAAUAAGGAUGCCAAAGGAGAUAUGAAAAUUGAAGGUGAAAAUUUAGAAUUGAAUACUUCUGCAACUGUGUCAGAUUCUUCUGUAUCCUCAAGGACUGGUGGCAGGCUUCCUACUCCAAAGCUGAGAGCUCUUGGUGGAACUCAGAGGACUCAUCAUGAUCGCACUACCCCAACUGUUGGAGGUACAGUUUUAGUGUCUCCUCCUAAAUUCAAGUCUUCAUCUUCACCACAGAGAAAACGAGACUUAGGAACAGACCCUUCGAAAAGAAGGUCCUUCCGGCCUGACGUGAAAAUGAAAGCUGUUUCACUGUUUAACUCUCCACCUGCUGGGCUGAGAACUGUGGAUCCUCUGCCACUUAGGCAGGAUCCGUGGCCUCCUAACAGGGUUGCUGAUGAGCAAGUUCCUCUUGCUUCAGCCCAUCAGGAACAUUCCUCUGCAACUUCCGUGCUCAAGUCAGCAAAAAGCUCCUCUGUGCCUUGGUGGAGUCCCUCUCAUCGUAUUCAAGGGACUCUCAAGGAUCCAGAAUUCCAGCAUAAUGGGAAUCUUGGCAAUCCAAAAAUGAGAACUUUCCAGUUGCCCCUUCGGGAAAGAAACUGUAAUGAUGAAGAUGACAGGUUGUCUCAGAUCUCUGCUCGCUCGGCAGCAUCUAGCUCUCUUGCAUCUCAGAUACUGGAACGAGCUCAGAAGAGGAAGGAUUUCUGGGGCAAGACAUAGUCUCUUCCCACCUGUCGUGUAGAAACUGUUCUGUAAAAUGAUUUAUCUUUUAUAGUUUGUAGUGUACAUUUAAAAAAAAAUGUGAUUGGAGAUCACAUGUUAAUGCUGCAUUCUUUCACUUAACCACUGAUAUGGCCCAAGUUUUAGGGCUUGCCAUCCCAAUUGAAAAUUAAGUAUUUAAACUGAUGUUGAAAAUGAACAUCCUUUAUAUCUGAGAGUUCGGUCUUAAUUCACUAUGUCUCUACAGCCAUAUGAGGCUUUUCUUUUUUUUUUACUGUGACACCUCUUGAAACUGAGAUAAUUAUUUUUUUAUGGAACCUGUGUGUUACUUUUCAAGGUAUUCUGCUGCAGUCAGGCAGGUAUGACCUGGAACAGUAUUCAGGGGCAACACCGUCAUUUAUCAAAUACCUCAGUUGCAUUAUUUUAACUAGUUGUCUUAAAGGCAACAAUGGUAUAUUUGUUUAUGUCACUGUAUGAAUUGUCAGCACAACACAGUACUGUGACAAAAAGUUACUUUUGCUACUUAACUGUCUUUAACCUGUUACAAAAAGAUUCCUAUUUCCUAAUGAUGCAAACAUGGAACGUACAGGAGUUUGAGAAAAGGACAUGAAGCAUUAGAAUUUGUUUGUUGUCCACAGAUUUUUGGCCAGGAAGACUAUUAGAGUUCAGUGUGUACAGUACUGCAGUUUGUCAGAUAUACUGAUUUAAAUGCUUGUCUUGUGGACUGAGACCACAAGAUGUUUACUGUUAAUUUCAGCUUCUCUAGAAAAAGCAAACUCAGCCACCUUAACCAGUGGUGUUCCCCAGCCCCUCUUCAGACUCAGGUAUUUAGGAGGAGUUGAUUUCUUAAAGUAAUCUCAAAAGAAUGUUUUUUUUCUUGACUUUGACAUUUUAAUUACCUCUCAUCCUAGUUGCCUGUUGCAGAGAGAUUGAUACUGUUAUGACUGUCACAGUGAAAAGUGUUUGUGAUUUAUGCUGACAGCUCAUUUUAUUUUUCCAAGUGAUGCAGACAAGUUAAUAUGAAGUAGAAGAAAUGGGUGGUUAACAAGCAGUUUGGUUCUUGUGCGGCUUCAAGUUUUAGUAUUACUUCAUUUGGAAAUUUUAUACAAGAACAAUUUGAAUUUUGUACACAUUUGAUUACAUUUCGAUUUUGUAUGCAAUUAUGUAUGCAUAUUGCUGAAAAUAAAAAAGAUGGUUUGAUUUCUUUUUAUGGAAAUUAUGCUGGAUAAUUUGUCAGGGCUUAUUACAUUGGCACUUCUCUGUUUAGUUCUCUGUUUCACCUGUUCAGCUGGAAUAUCUGUGGACUUACGAAAGCCAAGAUGUUACCUCAGAAAUCUUCAGAAAGAGUAAUUUAUGAAAGCUAGAUAUGUUGAUACCUGAAAUCAUGACUGACUGCAGAUCCUUUAAAUGGUGACCUGGAGCAGAUUGGUGCUACACAGGCUGGAUAGGCUGCAGUGCCCAAAGGGUCAGUCCCCAACAAAUUAUUUAAAGUGUUAAUUUAAAGAGUGAAUGAAUGAGUGCUAUCUAGCAUUGAUCAUGUUAGAAAACAGCGUCCACUUCUUCCAGAAAUGGUACAUUACAGUAGCUUCCUACCAGUGGAGUUGUUUGAAACAAAUAAGGUAUUUUAUUUUAUCUCAAGAACUUCUAGGAUUAUUCUGUGGCGUGCACUUUAUGACCAAUUAUAACUUACACAUUAAGUUUCUGUUGAAAGGGAAACUCUACGCUUCAGUCUUUAUGAAAAAAUUGCCAGUUUUCCUCUAUAAAUACAGUUUUAUAGGGGAAAACUUAAUGGCUAUAAGUGGAAAUACUUUUGUUUAAGAGGGAAUGUUGCUGUGAUGUUGUGGGUGGUUUAAUUUUGGUGUCUUCUAUCUACAUUAUUCAUACUCAACAUGUUCUCAUUGUUUUCCAGGCCAAGAGCUUUCAUCAUCCACUACUUCUCUGUGAUACCUGUAACCUGAAUUUUAUGAACUGUGCCCUCUUUUUUAGUGUUUUAUUUUUGUUUUUCUAUGUUUGCCUGGGUUUCCUGGCUAUCUGACAGCUCUGUCAGGGUGUUUGUACAGGUCUGAUUUUGAGGUCUUUAAGUUAUAGAUAUCAUAACACCAUAUGUUCCAGUUUUGCUUACAGUAUUGCAUGAAGAGUCUGGUACAUCUAGGUAGCUCUGAGUUUGUUAGAUGUGUGCAGUAUGCUACUUAUUUGAUUUCUGCCAAGGAGAAAGUACACAUGGUAAAGGAGGGAGACAGUUUUGUUGCAUGGGGUUACACACCCAAUUUAGAUAUGAGAAUGGAAAUUCAUGGUGUCUCACACACAUCAUUGAACAAUAUUUCCCAUCUAGAAAACUUUUACCUUUUGCCUGAAAUGUUCUAAUUGAAUUUACUUUUGGAAGAAGUAUUUAAAGGUAAGUGUAGACAAAAUACCUGUUACUGAGUUACGCUAGUGCAAAGCUGCUGAAGUGUGCUUUUCUGUAGUGUUCAAGGCAGAUGUAAAAUUCUUAAUGCCUGUUUUCUGCUAUUGUUUAUCUUAUUCAAGAGAGAUUUUGUUUUGUUGUUUUUCUAAAUACUUCAGAUCAACCUGCAAACAUACUUCCUGUUGUGUUUUCCAGCAAGCUGAAAAUAGAAAAAAAGGUUCAAAAGUGUGCCCUUUAUUAGUAAUUACAAGUGUGUGCUGCACAGUGAAUGCGUAUUGUUUUCUGUCAAGAAAACUUUAGAAGCCUUAAAGUGGAGAGACCAAGUAAGAUAAACUGGGAUGAAGGCAGUGGCCAAUAGGAGAUGUAUCUAAGGAAUAAACAGCUUUGGGAGCUUGUCAACUUAAGGUCCAGAUUUACAAAUCCAGCACAUUAAUAACUGAUCCAGUCAUAGUAUAACCCAGUAAGUGUUGAAUUGUCUUCAGCUGCUGUUCCCAAGUUGUAGAUACCUGCGGGUGAAUCUCGCUGAGGGGGGUUCACAGCUCUUCACCACCCGUACAAGUAAAUAAGCCAUCUCAUCCUCACUGACUGCUGCCAACUGGGAAAAGGCCUUUCCUGCCAGUAAAGUGUUCCCUCAGCAAGCCCACAAAGAGCAGGCUGGAUUCCAGUCUACACUUCUCAAGAAUUUACUGUCUUGCCAAACAAUAAGCCUGUUGCCUGUCUGUGAGAAUGAGAAGUGAUCUCUCAGUUUCUUCUACUGAAUCAGGAGAGCAGUGGUUGGUGGCCUAGGGGUUGGAACUAAGACCUCCCUGUUCCCAAAGCUCUGCUCACUCUGGCAUUUGCCUUCUCCUCCCUCUGGCCAAAUCACUUAGGUUGGAAUGACUUCAGCAGGAGGGGUGAAGCACCUUUGUCAGUACUUUCGCAAUUCCUCCGGGGAGGUUUUGAUGCUGCUGGGCAUGAGGAGAGUUUUGAGAAUUUAGCUGGUUGCUUACAGUAGCAGCAAGGUAGUAUUUAGGCACUUGCAUCCUUUUAUGGCUCUGGGCUUUAAUUUCUUUUACAGAGUCUCCAUUUUCAGUGCCUUUCAUGAAGCGUCAGCCUUCUCUACUUAAAAUCGUGAAAAUACUUCCAAACCCCUGGAUUGAACAGUUUAAGAAGAGUUGACUGGGGCUUUUCGUCUCUGCAGGAAAGUUUGGGAGAAUGUUGGACUGUGGAUAAUCCCAUCCAAUUUUGCAAUAAUAUUUUUUUGUUACUUUCCAAUUUUAAUGCCUUACUGAGGUGAGUUCUGAAACAUAAUGUGAAGUAUAUAAAUGUUGUUAAUCUGAUAAAUGUAAAAAGUCAAGUUUCUUUAGUCAUCAGCGGUAGAUUGCUUUUAAGGAAGGUGCAGGCUACAAGACUGUUUUUGGGACAUACAGUCUGGAUUAAGUCAUAAGGGCAGUAAGUUUUCCAGUGAUACUUAAGUCACUACGGGUAUGUUGUAUAGGGAUUUUUCAGCAUUUUUUGAUGAAUAGAUCCACAUGUCUUCCGUAUGGCUGAUGGAUCUCUAUGUAGUGAGUAACAACAUCCCGAAAACACGUUUGACUUCACCGAUGUCUUACAGGUAACCUGAGUUCCCUCUGCACCCAAGGGCCACAGCCCAAAACCCAGUGUGUUGCAGUAAGGUGAAGGGAAGCUACCAGCCACCAGCUUUCUCCUUCGCUCACAAAUUCUUGGAGUCCAGGUACUGAUAUAUUCUCCCUGUCUGACUCUUGGUGUCAGUGCUUUCUGGCAGAUAGCAGUGGAGGAAAAAGGGAUUUCCAAAUCGGUAAUACUUGACGGGCAAAUCUGUAGUACUGGAAGAUGGGGCAGGAAGCACAGCUUCUUGAACAAUUCAGUAUGUGCUUAUUUGCUUGAUGUCAUAUUGCUUCAUUCCAUCUUCCUGUUCUGCAAGGCUGAGCUGGCACCUAACAUUCUGGUAUCAGAGCAGUUCUUAGCAUCUGGUAAAAUUUGUCAGCAAAGAGCCCCAUCACUAUCUUAUGCAAGUGGAAGUUUUGCUAUGACCUUGUUGACCAAUUUUUACUGUAGCCUGAAGUAAAAUUGUUUCGUUAUCUGGAUGCACACAAAUAUAUGAUAAAGAAAACAAACUGAACAGUAAUUCUAAUGGAAAGUGACCAAAAAUUAAUGUCCUAAUUCUAGCAGUUAUUCAAACCUUUUUAGACAGAAGCCUCGGGAAGAGAGGGUAGGAUGGUGGAGCUGUGGUUAACUCUUUGGGAUGCAGUCAUUUCUUGGGUUAUAUCUGAAACCCAGUGGGAAAGUGUUAAUCACAUAGCAGUGAUCACACCAAAAGCAAAACUUGUAGAGGGGCCAAUGGAUGGUAGCUAACAAGAAAACUCCAAUUUCAUAGAAAUCCAAGUUUUGGAUUGCUUUUUGAUCCGAGUUUUCUAUUGUGUUGAAGGACAUCUGGAGUUCUAUGUUAAAAAUGUAAAUGAGCUUCCUAAAUAUAUUAGUAUAUAUACAGUUCAUCUGUGUCAGAUAUGAGCUGACCUUGUGAGGUUUCUGUUUCAGUCUGUUCUAGAGAAGCUCGUGGAGUGACUGAACAAGCCUGAGCUUUGCAUGCUGAAUGUGCUGCACCUGGGAAACUGAAGGAUGGUUCUUGGUGGUCUUGCAGUGUCAUGUUAGGGUGGAGGACUGAGAACUACAUAAGAUUCACCUGGAGACUGAUGGUCCUUUGAGAAGGCAAGCAAGGCCUGAUAGUGCUUACAGCUUUCACCCCUCUGUUGGAUCACUUAUUCCAUUCAUGGAGCUGGAUUAAGAGUGUCCCUUUCUGGUCACUGGGUUCUUGUAGCACAUAUAUGCAGCCGUCUGCAGAUGUACCCUGUUCUGGAGAGCUGGAUGUCCAGAUCUCACUACAAGUUUGCUCCUGUGGACUGGGGAAACCUGCUGAGAUUCAGUGCACUCCCCAGCUAGAGUGGGACUGUGAGUUUCCAGGACAGUGCUCUUGUGAGGAGCACACAUCUGUGUUUCCAGUGAGAAGCUGGCUUCAGCCUGUUUAUGUAUUUUAGCUGACAUGACAUGUGACUAAAAACAGAUAACCCCAGAAAAUAGCAUUAUAAUUCCUAUGCUGUAGCUAUUUUGUUUAGUCUCAUUUUGGCCCCAUGAAUCUCACAAUCUUGACAAUAGUUCUGCUCCUAGAGGAAACUCGCUGGCUCAGAGGACUCUCUUGGGAGAUGGGAAAUAGCAUAACCUGUCUGGGGAGGGGCUGGGGCAUGGACUGUUGGCUUCCUAGAGAUGGACACUAUUUAGAAGACUACUGUUAACAACAUGGGAACCAGGAACCGUCACCUUCUCUAAUGGCUCUGUAAUACAGAAUAACUGAGCAGCCACGGGCUCACCCUCAGGCGAUGAUGCUGAGCUCAGAGCCUCAGUGAAAGUGCUGGUGUAUGGGCAAUGUCAGGCACAAAUAUUUCACCUUAAAUUACAUUGCUUCCUUUCAAGAUGGAUUUAUUUAAUUACACAAGAUGGUGUUGGUUUAUUACAUGAUAACUGAUGGUACUUGGUAAACCAAGGUGCAGAAUGCUGGGGCUAUUUCUUAAUCUGAGUAACUGUGUGUCACUUAAUUUGGAUUAUAAACCAGCUUGCAAAAUUCUGCUCCCAAUUAGAGUGGUUUUCUUUGAGAUAACGCUAUGUCAGUAAUUCCACUUUGCCACUGAGUCGCGGCUGUGCAACCACACCACAUUAACAGGAAGCACAGAAGUUUCAGUUCACCUGAUCUGACUAUUCGCAAGACAUAGCUGGAUAGAUGUAGGUCACUAUAUAAAGUGACAGUUUUAUAGUAUGUACGUGACUUUACACACUGAAUUCAAAGCACUAGCCAUCUGGUGGAAGGGUUAAUAGUGGUGCCUUUGGUGGCAUGACAUGGUGUGUGCACUGACAUGGUCUGCAUUCCCUUUUCUCUCAUCUGUGUCAACUAAGUGAUGGCUCCUAUUGAUAAAUUCUUCUCUUUAUGCUUUACUGAUGUUGGCAGGAGUUGUCUGAAGAGGCAAGACCACCAGACUAACAUCUAUUGCACUUAAAUUGACACUGUUCUUUGGGUUUUUGUUUUCAUAUUAAUCACUGAAUCAUUCUGGCACUGUAAUAGAAAUCAUGACAUCAGUGGUUCUGGUAAUAAUGUUGUAUCAACACAUUAAUAGUGUUGUCUCUGGAUGACUUUCUCUUGGAUCUCCAGUACAUGAAUGUUUCUGAGGUGAGAAUAAAGUUAUUUAAACCAAG